AUUAGAAUACAUGAGAGAAGAAAGGUUACCCUCUCUCACGAUGCUGUUGGAGGGAAGAUGAUAGGAAAGGAAUGAAGAGGCGUCACAAGUGACCCUUACUGGGCUGUCAGAAGCAGUGCAGGCUCACUGUGUCUUCUGGGAAGGCUCCCUUCCUUGGCAUUGUCCAUUUGCAGUGGCAGGAACGAGCCCACAUGUGUGCCUGUGUACUGUCACGUCCUCCCGGCACAGAUCUCUUGGACUUCCCCAUGGCUUCUGUUCUCAGAAAGCCCAUGUGGCAGGAUGCUGGCUGCACAACUUCAGGGAGCAGGUCCAGCCAAAACUUGAAGCCAAUUUACCUUCUCCAUGCUGCAGAGUUGCGGUGGGCAUCCGAGUUGAGAUAGCCUUGAAGAAAUCUUCCUGAGACCCCAGAUCCAUCAUGCACCUUGUAUGGUUCCUUCGCAAUGUCUUUCCUCAUCUACCUGCCUUCCACUGAUGGACUGAGAUUAAGGUCUGCAAUCUGUAAUGCGAGGAAAUUAAACCUGCCACUGACUGUCAUAUCGAUUUACCAUCUGCUGUUCCAGGUGUUUGCUUGAUUUUUAAAGGCUGUGAAGUGAGCUCCCUUACAACUUGUCUGCAAAGGUAGAAGUCUUCUCAAAUGCUUUGCUUGAAUCUCCAAUGUGAUAUGCUUUUGAGACUUGUAAGGUAACUGUGAGCCAUGUGGAUAUGUCACAUGUGCCGACUACAGGUGUUUUAAAUGGGACAAGGUAGGACAGAGUUGUCACCAACCUAAAUGAAAUAAUAGUUAUAAUAUCUCAACAAGACAGUGAGAAGCACAGCAAAAUAUCCAAAGAAGCAUUUCAUUGAUCAAGAAAGAUCCCUGCCUCUUGUUACCUUUGCUGUCUUGUGCAUGCCAUGUUGUUUCUGCUCUGCCAUGCUGUUUGUCAUCACUGUCUUGGAGCCAGCUGAUUGUGGACUGAAACUUCCACAAACUUUAAGCCAAAUAAACCCCAUCCCCUCUAAUUUCAGGUGUUGGGUAUUUUGUCUCAGCAAUGAAAUAAAAGUAACUAACACAGAAAUUUGGUAACAGAGAAAUGGGGCUGUUGCUGUGACAUUACCUGGCCAUGUGGCUCAAAAGCCUUUGGAAUUGGCUUGUGGGGAAGGAGAAAAGUUAGGAAAGAUCUGGAGAUGCUGGCUACAGAAGCAGUGCUGGAAUGCCUUAGGCUGUUUUGUAUGGGAGAUUCUGGCCAGAGCUCAGAAGACCAGAAAGCCAGUAAAGACCAGGCUCAGGAGAUUUCUGCUGGGAAAAAGGACUCCAUUGGCUGUUGGACCCCAGAUGAUGUGUGUUAUGGCUUGGCAAAAAGUUUGUCUGCAUUUUGUUCAUGUCCAGAGACUUUGCCUGAGACUGAGAUUAGGCAUGGUGGACUAAUUAAUCUUGCAGAAGAAAUUUCAAGGCGGUCAAAUGUUGAGGCAGUGGCAUGGGGACUUUUAACCAGAUCUUUGGUGAGAAUCAAGAGCAAAAAGCCCAGAAGAAUGAUUAAACAUGUUUUGAGUUUGGCCAGAAAGGAAGCUCCAGUAAAGCUGUGGACUUCAAAGAGAGCAGAGAAGGUUUUGGUUGCUGAGAAGGAAGUGGAAAAUAGAAAAGAUGGCCUGUUUACAAAGACUUGGAAAAUAAUUAUGAUAUUUUUAUUAUUAUGGUGAUUGGUAAGUGAAUGUGUUAGUAUAGCUUCUGCUAUGGUUGUUUUGAGUCAGCCAUUAUUAGAAUUUAUUUUUGAUUUCUGUUCAUGGGGGGGGUAAUUAUAUUAUAGAGUGAAAUAUGAAAAAAAACUUGAGGUUAUACCUGGUGUAUGGAAAAUGCUUAGGGAUUGCUCAAGAUAUCACCUAAUAACAUACAGCAGGUGGUGUCAGCAUUUGUGUUGGAAAUCUAGAUUUGGGCAGAUGGAAAAUUGAAUCUUUAACCCCCAAGGUCAUAAUAGCAUAUCGUCACUUCAUUUGAUCCUCCUACUAAUUGAGCUUGUCAAAUACAGUACACUGCUGCCAUUUCCUGUUACUUCCAUUUUCAUAAUAAAAUUAAAUUGAAAUAGUUAAAAAAAAAAAAAAGAAAAGAUGGCCUGAGGA
Non-coding RNA from Heterocephalus glaber (naked mole-rat), 2094 nucleotides. The record is from RefSeq and is a predicted model, not a curated record. NCBI's taxonomy places the organism in Eukaryota, Metazoa, Chordata, Mammalia, Rodentia, Bathyergidae.